Urocitellus parryii (Arctic ground squirrel) is the source of this 1630-nucleotide long non-coding RNA. RefSeq lists it as uncharacterized. The record is from RefSeq and is a predicted model, not a curated record. Lineage: Eukaryota; Metazoa; Chordata; Mammalia; Rodentia; Sciuridae.
UCCGCACUCCCUGUGACCCAGGACGUCAUGAUGCCUGUCUGUUUUCUCAAUGAUAACUUGGCAGAAGAAGAGAGAGGCUGCCAGGUUCUCCUCGGGUGGUUACGUGAUGUCCCUAGAAAACAAUCAAGUCAGAUCGAUGACAAAACUAUUUAACUGGAGAAGCACAUUAUGGUGAAGAAGAACCUGAUGUGGGGGUGAAGAGGUGUUAUCUCCUGUACCUAGAAGAGCCAUUGUCACAGAGUAGGUGUCCAGUAAGUGUGUGGUCAAUGAAUGAUUGGCCAAAGAGAAAUGCACCAUGGCAGAAAUUCAAAUGAAGCCUGCAGUCUGUAUCUUUCUGGGUCACUGCCAACUGGUCUCACCUGGACUUCCUGGAUAGCUGGGAAAGCAACACCUACCACUUGCUGGACUUCCUGAUGCUGACUCCUGUAGGAACCCCAGCCUGUCUCCAUGGAAAGCUGAUUCAAAGAUGGAACCAAUAUAUAUGAGAACAGACAUAAGAGCUCCAGAGAAUUAUUCCAAGAAAGCAAGACUGGAAUCUAAUCAAGGAACUGGCAACAUGUGACCAGCUCAGUUUUCAUAAUUGCCGUGGAUCAGUAACUGCUUUAGCUUCCCAUCCCACCUCCCACUUUUCUGACUKCGAGUGUUUACACAGUUCUCUCUCUACCACCAUCAUCUAUGAAGUAUACGUGUGUGAGGAGGGAUGGCAGAUAACUUAUCUUCAGAUUAAGAGAAACCAUUUUCAAAGAACUACCCCCAGGAAGACCAAUCCAUAGCUGGACCUGAUUUAGAUGACAAAAUCCUGAACUUUAAAACCAAUGUUACAAUAAGAAGAAACUCUGGGAGUCUUGGGAAAGAAUAGUUUUCAUUUUGGAAAAAAAUAAGUAGUUAUUACCAGUAGGCUCACAAAUCAACUGUGGUUGAUUCAAGGUGUUCACCAAGUCCUUAUUACUUUUUCCUUGAAGAAUUCUGACUGGAGAGAGGAGGACCCUGUAUUAGUCAGUUUUCUGUUUMGAUAAUGAAAUACCUGAGAGUGGGGAACUUUAUAAAAAAAAAUAGUUUUAUUUAACUCACCAUUCUAGAGGUUAAAGGCAAGACACUGGCAUCAGCUCAGCUCCGAUGGAGACUUGAUGGCAGAGGGUAUUACGAUGGCAAGAGCAUGAACAGGAGAAAUCACAUGGCAAUACUGGAAGCUAGAGGGAGGGGCACGGGCACUGCCUCGUAAGGGUCUUACUACCUCUCAAUAGGGCCACGCUGGGUAACAAGCUCUUAACACACAAACCCUUGGGGGACACACUCAAAUCAUAUUAAAACCAUAAAACACUUCUAAUACAUUUAUAAAUUAGAUUCACUGCAUAGAUUUGGGGCAUUUUCUAGCCUUGUAUAAGAAAAAGUAAAAAAUGUUAAGAUUUGAAGUUUACUGCUAGUUUGAUAUAUGAAACUAUUAAUGCGGAGUAGUAUUAUGGUUGAAUAUGAGGUGUCCCCCCAAAAGCUCAUGUUAAUAUAGGAAUGUUCAAAAGUGAAAUGACCAGAUUAUGAGGGCUGUAACUUAAUCAGUAGAUUCGUCCACUUGAUGGAUUCAUAAUUUGAGUGGAUUAGUGGGUGGUAACUGUAAGCAGGUGGGCAUGACUGG